RNAcentral lists this long non-coding RNA (549 nucleotides) under Sinocyclocheilus anshuiensis. RNAcentral describes it as "lncRNA (ENSSANG00000028207.1)". The record is from RNAcentral. Lineage: Eukaryota; Metazoa; Chordata; Actinopteri; Cypriniformes; Cyprinidae.
AGACCAGCCCUCGGAGAUGGAGGUCCACAUCAUCCGCCUGUGGUCCUCAGGAUCCGGCCUGUGCGGCUCUCUGCAGGUAGAGGUGUCUGUCUCUCUGCUGCCUCCAGUGGCUUGUUCAGCGUAUCACAGGAUUGUCCUGAUCCUCAGCAGUGCGCUUCCGGUCAACUGGGCUCUGGUGGCUCCAGAGGUCAAAGGCCACGUCAGGGUCUAUGCAAGUUACAUUUGCAUUUCUAACCUGUGCGCUUUUCCAAAAACACUUUCUCAUCUAUGAACAGUUGCGUCUCUCUCGUUCAGUCGUCCAACAGCGUGAGUCCGCCAUACCGAACUCAAUCCCCCAGCCUCAGCAUGACCAGCACCCUGACUUCUGACCUCCUCAGCACCCCCGACCUUCUAGAAUGGGCCAAUCAGAACGGCUUUCCCAAAGUGACCUCGUACACUGAGGCUGAUCUGGCCAAUCGCUUCGUUGUCAGGUUAAGAGAAGGUGGAAAAGGAGGGUCAGACACAGAACUGAGGUCUUCAGAUGGACGGCAGGAUGACAUCAUGACAGAC